This is a long non-coding RNA of Rhododendron vialii, 2650 nucleotides long. RefSeq lists it as uncharacterized. The record is from RefSeq and is a predicted model, not a curated record. Lineage: Eukaryota; Viridiplantae; Streptophyta; Magnoliopsida; Ericales; Ericaceae. The transcript is spliced from 2 exons.
CGACGUCGGAAGCGGGCGUUCUUGGAUCUGCAACGCGAGUUCGUCAAAUUUUGAUCUCGUUUUGACUGAUCUCCACGAUCGAAAUCGUUCAAAUUGUAGAGCUCAUGAAGAAAAUAAACAGUGUUAAAGAUCGUUUGAAUCGAAAUCUGAAUGAUGCAUGAUCGGAGAUUAUCAAAGUGAAUUAAUUUUUAUGAAAAUAGAUUUUGGCCACACUGUAUCAAAUCCAUUAAAUUCACUCCGACGACGAAGGGACGUCCCCGACGGAAAAGGAAAAGGAUUCUCACUCCAUUGCUCAACAGUUGUUAACAGGUAUAAUGUGAAAAGUGAUAUCAGUUUCCUCAUAAUUCCAGUGGGCUGUAUAUCACAACAUAGGGCAUUUGAUAUAAACUGAAGGUCAUCGACAUCUCUAAAUCUGUACUGAAGUAUAUUGCAAUAUUUUGUUUGUUCGUAUAUAGUGGUAGAUGACAAGUCAACUGAAAAGAGGGGACCAGUGUCAGAUUCAAAUGAUUCGAGAGUGUCUCAGACCCUUUGGAUCACUACUAUUCAAAGCCCUGUAGUUUGAAUCGUUUGAUUUGUCAAAUAAUAAUUGUUUCGCGGAUGAAAACAGUAUUUUCCACAAGAAGAUCAUGAAAAUCCUCCAAAAAAGUAGUGAUCCAGGAAGACAUUUUCGUGGAAAAUUCUCCAAAAGAGUCUCCCUGAAUCCCAUCUACAUCCGGGCAUACGAAUACCGGAUCGACCUACUUCGAGCUGUGAUCGUUGGAGCCCACGGACCCCCCACCACGACGGCUUCUUCUUCUUCGACAUCGCCUUCCCUUUCAACUACCCGAACGACCCUCCAAAAGUCUAUUACCACUCCCAUGGCCUGCGACCGAAUCCCAACCUAUAUGCAAGCCGGUAUGUGUGCUUGAGCCUAAUCAACACUUGGCAUUGGCAACAUGAAAGUGAAGUGGAACUGUUCUUUGUUCUCUAUUCUUCAGCUACUGGUUUCCAUUCAAGGGCUUUUGCUCAAUGAGAGACCCUACUUCAAUGAGCUGGGACACGUGUACACUGAAGAUUGAGUGGAAGUCUCUAGGGCUUAGAAUGAGGAUGCCUUAGCUUUGUCAUGUAAGACUAUGGCUUACGUAUUGCGUAGUCUGCCCAAAAAUUUUGAGGAUUUCGUUUAUGUACACUUUCGUAGUCGCUCAUUUGAUGAAUUGAACGCAGUUAGCGCUUAUGCUUGUGCCAUCGUUGGUUGGUAUCGAAGCAUCUCAGGUGAGCUAGUCUUAAGAGGUAAUGCACUACCUUUUAUGUGAAAUACUAAGCCUCAGUGUUCUUGUGCCGGUCCUUACACGGGUUAAGGUGGCAACGAAUGGGGGAGAAGAUUUUGCCAACCGAUAUACCUCAGCUGGCGGAUGCAAAAGAGACACGAAAGAAUGGGAAUUGUCUGAGAUCCACAUUUACUUUGUUGUGUUUCUUUGAGUCUAAUUAUUUUAUGCUCUUGUUUUUUGAUUUAUUCUCUUGUUGUCUCUUUGUUUCAUGAGCAUGAAAAAUGGUGUUAUUGACAGGUUUAUAUGGUGAUGGAAUGGAACAAGAGAGGAAAUUUUGCUUGUUGCUAUGUUCAAAUGUGUCUUAGGCCCCGUUCUAGAACACCUUCUUAAAAAAUAAGUACUUAUUUCAUAUUUUCAAACUCAAAAAUAAUGUAAAUGAAAAAUAAUUUUUCAAUUUUUUUUGCAUCGUAUUAAAGAUCUCAAUGAGAUCUAUCAAACAAGAUCUAUAUUGCAUAUUUUUAGAUUUCAAUAAGCCUAUAAUUUUUGAGCUUGAAAUUGCCUUCUUAAAAAAUAAAGACUUAAAACCCGUUCUGGAACGGGGCCUUAGUCCAUUGGUUUGAUGACAUUAGUAGUGUCUUUAAAUUUGUGUUGAAAUGGGUUUGUGGAAGAAAAGGGAACUUCCUAUGGGGUUGUGUGUGUCUGUGUUGGCGAGAAAUUUGAACUAAACCGAGGAUCUCCACUUACAGUUGAGUUUGAGAUUCGCUAAUGUGAUUUGGUUCUUUUUUUUCCCCAAACAAUUAUGGUAGUCUUAUUGAUGCUUGCUAAGUUGGUUUGAGUGAGAGUGCAGAAACUACUUUUCUAGUCGAUUUUUCUUGGUGAUCAUGUAUUGUUGCUGUUAUACCAUUGCUCUCCUGCUGCUCCAUGGUUUGCUCAUAGGCUUGAUAUUGGUUUUGCUCAUGCGCUGUGGAUUGAUUGGCCUGGUUUUGUUCUCUUUCUGCAACGUAUUCCUUUGGUCAUGGAUGUUGCUGCAAUAUUCCUUGGUCUAAGGUCUCGGUUGGGUUCAAUGCUAUAUUUCUUGAAGGAUUUAUGUUCUUUGAAGGUUAUGUUCAAAGUUUUUCCUUCGGUUCAGUCUCCCCCUCUCUUCUGAGGAGGCUUUGAUACGUCACUGGUGCUGGUGGAAUUGAUCAAGUUUACAAGCGCAUCCUUGGUUCGCUAGCUGCUGCUGCUGUUUUUGCUUCUAUUUUGGUUUUAGCUCAUUGCUUCUGUUUUCUAUUGUUUGGCUAUAUGCCUUGUUAGGAGUUGAUUUCAUCAACCUCCUAUCAUGUACUCUAUUUCUAUUCUCUCAAUAUAUUUCCUUUUGCCGAUCGGGAAAAAGGUGGGAAAAGGAUGAAUGUUCCUACAAA